Long non-coding RNA from Saccostrea cuccullata (small rock oyster), 1542 nucleotides. RefSeq lists it as uncharacterized. Lineage: Eukaryota; Metazoa; Mollusca; Bivalvia; Ostreida; Ostreidae. The transcript has 4 exons. The record is from RefSeq and is a predicted model, not a curated record.
CACAUUGUUUUCGGACUUUUCGCAUUUUGGAAAACAAAAGGUGAAGUUAUUUUAGAAAAAGGUGAAACAGUUCGAAGACCAUUUUAAUUAUUAGCUAAUAAGUUAGAGAUGAUUCCCUCUGAUCAUUUGUUUUGAACAUAUACGAUUUCGAAACUAUUCAGCUAACAUUCAACUCGAGAAUCCUCUAUCACUGUGUAUCAGCUGUCUGCACAACUUCGAUACAUCAUUGCGCCAUGGUUCAUUGUAAAAACAAAAUACAGACGUUUCUAGGCCCAGUGAAUCAUAUAUUUGUGAGCGAAGUAAAUGUUCUACAGCUGUAUAUUUUAGAAAAAUAAAACAUUUAUAAUGUGAAGACGUUCAACAGUCCAAAUUACCUGACACUCUCGUGCACCAUUUUCCUCCUCCGAAGAUUCAAAGAUGGGUGGCGGAUAUGAAAACCGGCGCCUUUUUGGUUUGGAUACGUACUCCUGUCCCUGUUUUGAGGAACUCCUGAAACCCCAUCCCAAGGUAUGACAUCACCCAUCCCAUGUGCUUUGCAAGUGGAAAAUUUGGGUCAGGAAACAAAGGUUAAUUUGGGCAAACACGGAAUUGAAGCAAGGAAUACUGCCAUAGGAAACGUGAUGAAGACAGAGAAAAAAGGAAACAGUUGAGAAAAGCAAGUACAAAAAAUCUCAUGUCUUUGCACUGCAUCAUCAUGUCUUACAACACUACAUUACAUUCUUCAUCAACUGAACCAUGAUCACCAAAACCAUCAGAAACCACUUCUACUGCAAGGAGUACUUAAAAAAAACAAAAACUUAAUAUCAUUCACAUCCAAUCCUCUCUAUGUCCGCUUCAAGGAAUACACCAUGCUAAAAAAAGAGUGAAUGGUAUAUAUAUAUAUAUAUAUAUAUAAACAAUAUUUUCAAAUUAAAAGGACUUAUCUAUGAUGUAUUACAAUAAUGUCUUAAAUAAAGGGAUUUACAUGCAGUGAUGGAAUCCUCAUGCCAGUUUGCCAUGGAGAGGUGUUUUCAGUUGAAAUGAUCCUCUAGCCGGGCAGAUAUGGAGAGGUGACCAAGACACAGAUUUUUUUGUUAAACUACAUUUACUUAAAGUAUCUAUGAUAUAUAAAUAAAAAUGUCUUAAAUGUAGGGAUUUACAUGCAGUGAUGGAAUCCUCGUGCCAGUUUGCCAUGGAGAGGUGUUUUCAGUUGAAAUGAUCCUCUAGCCGGGCAGAUAUGGAGAGAAAAUGGUAUACCCGGUAACACCUUGGAAUGCAGAUGAAGAGCUUUUGUCGUGACAAUCUUUUAAAAUUAUACCAGCAGAAAUUUUUGUCUUGUUUGCAUAUUUUUUAAUGCUAAGAUUCAUUAUGUCUAAAAGAGAAAUAUGUGUUACAUAUAUUUAACACGAUUUAAGCAAAAGCGAGUUGUAAAGUUUAAAGUGCUUUUGUGUCCAUUAAGUUUUCUAUGUUUUAAUGAUUACAUGAUGUAAAUAUCUUGCAGUAUACCUUGAUUUUAUCUAUAAAUUUGUCAUUUGACAAAAAAGUAAAACAAAUUUUUUUUUA